Oncorhynchus tshawytscha (Chinook salmon) is the source of this 3556-nucleotide long non-coding RNA. The record is from Ensembl. Lineage: Eukaryota; Metazoa; Chordata; Actinopteri; Salmoniformes; Salmonidae.
CAAUCAUUUCUGAUUCACAGACGUGUUUAGUCCAGGGUGUAGGAUUUAGCGGUCAAUUUGGAAUUAGGAAUCAAAUGUAGUUCAGGGACUUACAGCUGUCCUUAAUUAGCCAAUGACAUUAGAAGGGUCUGGGAUUUGUAGGAGCAACCAAAAAGCCUGCCAGAUACAGCAAAAGGGAUAUUAAACUAGGGCUUAUAUCGGCCAUUAGGUCUGAUUACUGGUGAAGUUUCGAGGCGCAAAAUGGCCGUGAUGAUUGGAAUCGCUUUCAGGCUCACUUCGGUCUAAAGGCUAUGGAAAAUACAUCUCUCCAACAGCUCAAUUGCAAGCGCAGCUGACCGAAGAGCAACAGAAACAUCUGGCCUCCAUCCUGCAAAAGCAACUGGCCCCCAUGCCCCAGGCACCUCAGAAAAUGUGGUAUCCAACUCAAAUGCCCCAGCAGGAAAAGCAACUGGCCCCCAUGCCCCAGGCACCUCAGAAAAUGUGGUAUCCAGUUCAAAUUCCCCAGCAGCAAAAGCAACCAGCUACUGGGCCUCAGCAGCAGACGGAACUGACCACCAUGCCCCAGAAGCAACAGGCUCCAAUGGAUAUACCGCAGCAACAACCAACAGCUAUGCCCCAGCAAACAUGGUAUCCAGCUCAAAUACAGCAGAAGCAACCGGCCACCAUUCACCAGCAAGUGUGGCAUCCAGCUCAAUUGCCCCAGCAGCAAAAGCAACCAGCUACUGAACCUCAGCAGCAGAAGGAACCGGCCGCCAUAAGCCAGCAACCUCAGCAAGUGUUGCAUCCAGCUCAAAAGCCGCAGAAGCAACUGACUGCCAUGCCCCAGCAAGUGUGGUAUCCAGCUCAAAAGCCCCAGCAGCAGAAUCAACCCGCCGCUGAACCUCAGCAGCAGAUUGACCUGACCGCCAUGCCCCAGCCUCAGCAAAUGUGGCAUCCAGCUCAAUUUCCCCAGGAGCAACCAGUCCCUAUGCGUCAACUGCAGAAGGAUCUGACCGCCAUUCCACCACAACUGUGGCAUUCUGCUCAAAUGCCCCAGCUGCAUAAGCAACCGGCUGCCAUGCUUCAGCAAGUGUGGCAACUGGCCCCCAUUCCCCAGCAGCCUCAUGACGUGUGGUAUCCAGCUAAAAUGGUCCAGAAGCAACGAGCCGCUGCAGCUCGGCGGCAGAAGGAACUGACCACCGUGCCUCAGCAAGUGUGGUAUCCAGCUCAAAUGCCCCAGGAGCAGAAGCAACUGGCCACCAUAACGCAGCAAGAGUUGCAUCCAGUGCACCUUCCCCAGCAGCAUCAGGAACCGGCCACCAUACCCCAGCAAGUGAGAUAUCCAGGUCAAAUGCCCCAGAAGCAUCUGGCCUCCAUGCCUCUGCCGCAGAAGCAACCGACCGCCAUGCCCCAGCAAGAGUGGCAUCCAGCUCAAAUGCUGCAGACGCAACUGGCCCCAAUGCCUAUCCAGCAGAAACAACCAACAGCUUUACUCCAGCAAGCAUGGUAUCCAGCUCAAAUGUCCCAGCAGCAGAAACAACUGGCCACCAUGCUGCAGAAGCAACCAGCCCCAAUGCCUCAACCGCAGAAGGAACAGGCCACCCUGCCCCCGCAAGUGUGGCAUCCAGCUCAAAUGCCACAGCAGCAAAAGCAACCAGCUGCCAUGCUUCAGCAAGUGUGGCAUCUGGCACAGAAGCAACCGGCCCCUAUACCCCAGCAGCCUCACGACGUGUGGUAUCCAGCUAAAAUGGUCCAGAAGCAACAAGUCGCUGCACUGACCGCCAUGCCGCAGAAGCAUCAGCAAGUGUGGCAUCCAGCUCAAUCUCCGAAGAAGCAACCGGCAUCCACCCCUCUACCGCAGGAGCAGCCGCCCGCCGUAUCCCAGCAAGUGUGGUAUCCAGCUCAAAUGUCCCAGCAGCCGAAGCUACACACUGCCAUGCCACAGCAGCAACUGACCGCCAUGCCACAGCAAUUAUGGCAUGUAGCUCAAAUGACCCAGAAGCAACUGGCCCCAAAUUCUCAGCAGAAGCACUACCAAAGCACUGAAGAUGGUGCCUCUGGUAGCGCUCAGGCCAGCAUCGUUGAACAGUCGGGUGUCAUCCCAAGCUAUUCCUACAGUUCCAAAUCGCACUACGAGAAUGGCAGAACUGUCUCUUCCCAAAUCAGCUACACUCCUAGGGAGGCUAUUUCUGUUGACAGUGGAAAUGCUCCCAAGGACGGUUAUGUUAGCAUUGGUGCACCAAGCAUAUAUCCACCACUAGUGAAGGAUUCUGCAAGGAAAAUGUAAUGGAUUCAUCCUCUAGAAGCUCUAAUGGACGUUGCUGGUGCUCUUGCUACUCUAGAGUUAUGGAAAACAUCAACAAUUUUACUUUCAAAAAUGCCUUGUCUCUUUGAAAUAAUGAUUCUCGUGUCCAUUGCUUGCGAAUUGAGAACAGGUGGUGUGCAGUCUUGUAAAAAUGACUGUUCAGUUAAUUCUUUGGUUGUUCAUCUUUUACCUUUGCUACUGGUUGUUCAAAAUAAAAGCUUGGGUCUACAUGAGAGCAUUUGUGAAGGGGUGAGUUGUCAGACAUUCAUCAUAUGUUCAUACUUUAGAUGUAGGCAUGCAUUGUAUACAGUGAGACUGUCUUCAACCUCAGUGUAAGUUGUUGGUGAGUAAAUUAACAUAGGAAAUUGUUUUUAGAUGGUCAGACCAUGGCUCAUUUAGCUAUUAGGAUUGUGUGAACAUUUUGGUUUCAAACUUAUAUUUGGCCUUAUACUAUAGCCCACACCACAAAUGGCAACGAGUCAAAUCAGUUUAGAAGUGUCUGUCCAGUAUCUAGGUGAUGCCUCAAAUGUUUUGGAUGCUUCAACCCCUGUUGGCACAUCUACAUCGAUACUUCUGUUUGUAUGGGUUACCUUCAGAUGUGUCUUACAACUGUGGGGUCAAAGAGGGAAAUUAACUAUGUUCGGGAGUCAAUUUUCCAUAAUGUUUGUAGGACAAACCGUUCUGACGCUAAAUGUUUUUGAGACUGCAUUUUGAGGUGUCUGACCAACACCACUGUAGCUCGGCCCCUGUCCAGCGCAGAUGCUUAAGGGCGACAGGCGGCUGCAGUGGAUUGAGACGCAGCCCAUUCUAAAUGUUCUAGCUUCAACUGGAUUUUAUGGGCCUCAAUACUCUUCACCUGUAGCCCAUUCCUCCUAGUCCAUUUAUUGUACCACAGGCUCCUAUAGAAUGGAUUCGGUGUAUUUGAUUUUUAUGAUGCCUGGAGUGGUUUAACCUAUCAAUCAACAAAUAUAGUCUGUACAGAAUGUCUUCAAACAUGUACAUUUUCUUAACCAGUUAUUAAUCUUACUGCAUAGUAUGAGAAUUCAGCCCUUAAAUGGAUCCAUUAAGUUCCAAAGAGGAAGCUGGUAGGCACUAGCAUGACAGUUUAACUAGCAUAAGAUGUCACCCAUGACUUUUUGUAACUUGACAUACUUGCCUGUUGUAGUUGACUGUUUGGCCACAGACUCAUGAACACGAAAUUGUAAAAGCGUUGAAUUUUCUGCAAGGAGUUACACUUUGCUGUUGGACAAUCUCUUGUCUAGCGUACUUCAA